Chinchilla lanigera (long-tailed chinchilla) is the source of this 291-nucleotide long non-coding RNA. RefSeq lists it as uncharacterized. The record is from RefSeq and is a predicted model, not a curated record. NCBI's taxonomy places the organism in Eukaryota, Metazoa, Chordata, Mammalia, Rodentia, Chinchillidae. The transcript is spliced from 3 exons.
GUGCCUGGGAUUGGCAAACUACAGCCUCCAGCCAAGUCCAGCAAUGUUUGGACAGCUUUCAAGAGAUUCAGGGGUAAGGCGAGGCCCUGAGUGAACAGCCGCCCUCGAGCCACUGCAGCGACUCUGACCCUGGCAUUCUUUGUGUGUUCAAGGAUUUCUGGAAGAAGGACCGGAACACUGGUUCUUAUGCACCUGGAUAAACGCGCUCCCACCUACAGCAUCCACAGAACACGGAGUCCGUCCCAGUGCACCACCCUGAUCCACUUGCUGGACUUACUGAGCAAGCUCUCU